This is a microRNA precursor of Pan troglodytes (chimpanzee), 52 nucleotides long. It matches the Rfam family "mir-1302 microRNA precursor family". The record is from Rfam. NCBI's taxonomy places the organism in Eukaryota, Metazoa, Chordata, Mammalia, Primates, Hominidae.
UGUUUAGUGUAAGUAUGUCCCAUGCAAUAUCUGGGACAUACUUAUACUAAAA